This 1554-nucleotide ribosomal RNA is filed under the name Salmonella enterica. RNAcentral's name for it is "bacterial SSU rRNA". It matches the Rfam family "Bacterial small subunit ribosomal RNA". The record is from RNAcentral. Lineage: Bacteria; Pseudomonadati; Pseudomonadota; Gammaproteobacteria; Enterobacterales; Enterobacteriaceae.
AAAUUGAAGAGUUUGAUCAUGGCUCAGAUUGAACGCUGGCGGCAGGCCUAACACAUGCAAGUCGAACGGUAACAGGAAGCAGCUUGCUGCUUCGCUGACGAGUGGCGGACGGGUGAGUAAUGUCUGGGAAACUGCCUGAUGGAGGGGGAUAACUACUGGAAACGGUGGCUAAUACCGCAUAACGUCGCAAGACCAAAGAGGGGGACCUUCGGGCCUCUUGCCAUCAGAUGUGCCCAGAUGGGAUUAGCUAGUUGGUGAGGUAACGGCUCACCAAGGCGACGAUCCCUAGCUGGUCUGAGAGGAUGACCAGCCACACUGGAACUGAGACACGGUCCAGACUCCUACGGGAGGCAGCAGUGGGGAAUAUUGCACAAUGGGCGCAAGCCUGAUGCAGCCAUGCCGCGUGUAUGAAGAAGGCCUUCGGGUUGUAAAGUACUUUCAGCGGGGAGGAAGGUGUUGCGGUUAAUAACCGCAGCAAUUGACGUUACCCGCAGAAGAAGCACCGGCUAACUCCGUGCCAGCAGCCGCGGUAAUACGGAGGGUGCAAGCGUUAAUCGGAAUUACUGGGCGUAAAGCGCACGCAGGCGGUCUGUCAAGUCGGAUGUGAAAUCCCCGGGCUCAACCUGGGAACUGCAUUCGAAACUGGCAGGCUUGAGUCUUGUAGAGGGGGGUAGAAUUCCAGGUGUAGCGGUGAAAUGCGUAGAGAUCUGGAGGAAUACCGGUGGCGAAGGCGGCCCCCUGGACAAAGACUGACGCUCAGGUGCGAAAGCGUGGGGAGCAAACAGGAUUAGAUACCCUGGUAGUCCACGCCGUAAACGAUGUCUACUUGGAGGUUGUGCCCUUGAGGCGUGGCUUCCGGAGCUAACGCGUUAAGUAGACCGCCUGGGGAGUACGGCCGCAAGGUUAAAACUCAAAUGAAUUGACGGGGGCCCGCACAAGCGGUGGAGCAUGUGGUUUAAUUCGAUGCAACGCGAAGAACCUUACCUGGUCUUGACAUCCACAGAACUUUCCAGAGAUGGACUGGUGCCUUCGGGAACUGUGAGACAGGUGCUGCAUGGCUGUCGUCAGCUCGUGUUGUGAAAUGUUGGGUUAAGUCCCGCAACGAGCGCAACCCUUAUCCUUUGUUGCCAGCGAUUAGGUCGGGAACUCAAAGGAGACUGCCAGUGAUAAACUGGAGGAAGGUGGGGAUGACGUCAAGUCAUCAUGGCCCUUACGACCAGGGCUACACACGUGCUACAAUGGCGCAUACAAAGAGAAGCGACCUCGCGAGAGCAAGCGGACCUCAUAAAGUGCGUCGUAGUCCGGAUUGGAGUCUGCAACUCGACUCCAUGAAGUCGGAAUCGCUAGUAAUCGUGGAUCAGAAUGCCACGGUGAAUACGUUCCCGGGCCUUGUACACACCGCCCGUCACACCAUGGGAGUGGGUUGCAAAAGAAGUAGGUAGCUUAACCUUCGGGAGGGCGCUUACCACUUUGUGAUUCAUGACUGGGGUGAAGUCGUAACAAGGUAACCGUAGGGGAACCUGCGGUUGGAUCACCUCCUUACCUGAAAGAAGC